GGGUCAGUAGGUUGGUCGUGCCACCGGUACGUACUGGUCUCACUGAUUCCUCCUUCUUGAAGAACCGUAAUGCCAUUAAUUUGGUGUUGCGGUGAAACAGGACUGUUACUUUGAAAAAAUUAGAGUGUUUAAAGCAAGCUAACGCUUGAAUACAUUAGCAUGGAAUAAUGAAAUAGGACGAUCGAUCCUAUUUUGUUGGUUUCUAGGAUUGACGUA
RNAcentral lists this ribosomal RNA (216 nucleotides) under Glomeromycotina sp. RNAcentral describes it as "partial small subunit ribosomal RNA". The stretch from base 40 to 216 matches the Rfam family "Eukaryotic small subunit ribosomal RNA", at positions 686 to 864 of the family's 1831-position model. Lineage: Eukaryota; Fungi; Glomeromycota. The record is from RNAcentral.